This 481-nucleotide ribosomal RNA is filed under the name uncultured bacterium. RNAcentral describes it as "partial 16S ribosomal RNA". It matches the Rfam family "Bacterial small subunit ribosomal RNA", at positions 30 to 507 of the family's 1533-position model. The record is from RNAcentral.
UUGAACGCUGGCGGCAUGCUUUACACAUGCAAGUCGAACGGUAACAGGCCGCAAGGUGCUGACGAGUGGCGAACGGGUGAGUAAUGCAUCGGAACGUGCCCAGUCGUGGGGGAUAACUACUCGAAAGAGUAGCUAAUACCGCAUACGAUCUAUGGAUGAAAGCGGGGGACCGUAAGGCCUCGCGCGAUUGGAGCGGCCGAUGUCAGAUUAGGUAGUUGGUGGGGUAAAGGCUCACCAAGCCAACGAUCUGUAGCUGGUCUGAGAGGACGACCAGCCACACUGGGACUGAGACACGGCCCAGACUCCUACGGGAGGCAGCAGUGGGGAAUUUUGGACAAUGGGCGCAAGCCUGAUCCAGCAAUGCCGCGUGCAGGAAGGAGGCCUUCGGGUUGUAAACUGCUUUUGUACGGAACGAAACGGCCCUGGUUAAUACCCGGGGCUAAUGACGGUACCGUAAGAAUAAGCACCGGCUAACUACGUG